Molecule: long non-coding RNA, 2580 nt
Filed under: Elaeis guineensis (African oil palm)
Lineage: Eukaryota; Viridiplantae; Streptophyta; Magnoliopsida; Arecales; Arecaceae
Description: long non-coding RNA (EGUI_LNC071244)
Source: RNAcentral
AUGGCACGAGGUAUACCACUUGUAAUAUGUGGCCUGGACUGACUCAUGGGCAUGUGUUAGUGCACAAGCAUAAUUUUGGCAAACAUGAGUAAGCUAUCAUGGGGUUCUCAUGGUAAUAUAAACUGUUUCUAGUGAACUUGUUGAAGUGGGUCAAGAGUUGUCUUGUAAAAGAAGGGUGGAGGAUAUCAAAAGUAAUAUAUAGAACCGUAACACCAUUGGUUACCAUAUUGUGUUUGUUGCUUACUAUUCUGAUAUGUGCCAUGCAUAAUUUGAAGUAAUUUAGGAUGCAACAGAACUAUGCAUAUGCAUGAACUAGGAAAAUGGAGAAGGUAAAUAUUUAAUAGUAACUGCUGAUCCAUCAUCUUCAUCCAAAGCUUUUCAAAUCAAAUAUGGGAGGGGCUACAAAGCAAGAGUCUAAGUUGAGAAGCCUUGAUGGAAGGAAUAAGAAGAUCUUUUGACUGAUCAAUCUGAUGUCUACCCUCGAGAAAUUUUGGCAAGUAUACUACCAUUAAAAUUUUAAAUCUGUUUAUCAAGUAUAAAGAUAGGCCUUAUUGGUCACAGUCUAAACCAUGCCAUCACAGAGCAACCUCCAAAAUUUCAUCAGGCUUUGUGAGAGUUAAGGUGAAGAUGGAAGGUGAAAUUUUUGAUGUAAAGAAUGGUAUUUAUCUCUAAGGUAUUAAUAAGCCAAAAAGCCAAAGGCCCACAAUCCAGUCUCAUGAGACAAGUAAAACAAUGAACAUAGUACACAUAAGCUGAGUAAUAAUUAAGUCUGCUGAAGCUUAAGAUACUAAGACAAAUAAUACCAUAAUUAGACAAGUAAUAUGAAAUGUACAAGGUUUGUCAUCUGAAGUUUUCGGUGUCAUCCAUAAAUCAUUUUGUAAUUGAUUUAGUAAGACUUCAUGAAAUAACAAUUUUUCCAAACAAAUAGGUCAUCAUUCCAACUCUUCAUUUUUCAACAUUCUUAUACAUUUGUUGAAUUAUUGUUUCCAUUUUGGAUCCUUCUUUUUGUUUUGCAACCACCUUAAGAACACACAUCAAAAGUAUAAUUUAUGCUAGGAUGAAUACCAUAAAUGUGCUGAGGAGGUAAUUAUUGAAGAUGUACGUAUGUAAACAAAUAAAGUUGUAUAGAAAAAGAAAAACAAGCUAAUGAGGUGUAUGAAAUGACAAUGGCUGAAUUAACCUUGUUAUGGAUAAAAAGAUGGGGUUCAAACUCUAAUUUUACUUGAAAAUGACUGUGAGGCAUGAAUGUGAUUGAUCCUAAGAUUGGGUCUUCAACACUAGGCUUUACAUUAAAAAGAGGUUACAAUAAGCUCAAAUGACUAGGGGACUCUUAUUAUGUUUGUAUUUGCAUUUGCUGCUCACAGUCUGUAUUGACCUUCCAAAAAAUUAGUACAAGCAGAUACAAAUUGGCACAAAUCAAUGCGCAUGACAGUGGUAAAACCAUUAUAUUGCAUCCAUGUGUAGCUAGCAUGGCACAUUUCAGCACUUAACCCUUUCUUGGAUUAGGUUGGCAUAUUGUAUGUAGAGAUGUCGAGUCUCUGGGAAAGGCACAAGGAUUUAACUUGGUCUUACUCCAAGGAUUAACAUUAUGCCAAGAUGCUUUAAACUCAUUAUAAAAAUUUAUGCCAAUAUGUAGAAAGAUGGGCCAUGUUGUGAGCUGUAGAUGAUUUGACUGAUAGGAAAAGAAAAGAUUAAAUGCUAAUUUGGAUUUUCUAGAAAAUGCUUUGCUAGAUAAGAGGCUUGAAAGUUAGCAAACAAGAAUAGGAUAUAUAAAAUGUAAUUCAGUAAAAAUAGAGAUGAAAAUAAGGAUGGAGUCAAGGCUGAUGGACAGGAGAUACCAUAGAGUUAUUGAUCCAUUUUAAAUGUAAUGUUAGAAAAUAAGAACAAGGUCUGUAGUGUCAAAUGGAUCUGAAUGUUGGGCAAUAAGGAGGUCCAAAAUAAAAACAAAUUGGAUGUAGCAGAAAUGAAAAUCACAAGAUUAUGUGUAGCUAAAUUAGAAAGGAUAGAAUAAUAAAUGAGAAUACUAGAGGCGCUUUAGUAAUUGCACAAGUCAAGAACAGGUGAUGGAGAAUCAAUUAGGAUGGUAUGGCCAUGUAAAAAAAAAUAUAAGGGGGCUUUGGCAAGAGGGUUACCUCAAUCUUCAUCCAAAGAAAUAUGAAGAGGGCAAGGCCUUCAAUAACAAGGUUUGAAGUUGUGAUAAAGGAUAUGGAAAAACUUGAACUAACAUUAGACAUCACCCUAAAUAGGAGCACUUGGUAAAUGAGGAGUCACAAUGCUUUGAUUCUAGAUAGUUGGGACAAGGGUAUCUCAAUCAAUUUGAUGUAGGACAACACUAAGUUAUCAGCUAAAAUCAUAACACACUAAAUGUGUGUGUGUCAGCAAAUCUUCUGUUGAAAAUCUACUGCUAUUGUAAUUUGGCUUCUAGUCUAAGUAGUUCAUAAUUUAUAUGUUUUCUUUUGACUUCUAAGAAUCUAGGAAGUAAUUUUAAGGAUUUGAUGAAAUGCUGAUUCUUGUAUCUUUUAAAAAUUUUAUGCCCAGUUUUAACUGAUUCAUGAUGAUAUACGAAUAUGAAAGAGGAGG